AAACCUGAGAAACCCAAAAGAUCGAAUGGGGAGAUUCAUCGUCAGCGGCCUCGGCUUCCGUGUGGACUGCGAUGUCCGGGACUUCGGUCUCGUGUCACGCGUUCGCUGCGGUAUGUCCGGCGUCGUCGGCGUGCACUUCUCCCCUAGUAGGACGUCGCGACCCGUUGGGUGCCGGCCUACGGCCCGGUUGGUCGACUGUCGCGUCGCGUUCACGCGUGCACGCGGCAGACCACCGGUCGCCCGGCCGGCUGCCCGGCGGUAUAGAUCGCUAUAAAACGGUAUUGGGCCGCAUUAAGUGCGUUCUGGCCCGUCGGCAGACACGUCUCGCUCGGAUUUACGGACCUAGCGCCGUUGCCGGGUGCUUGGCGUGUUGUUAGUCGACGGUGUCCUCGGACUGGCUCUUACAUUCGAACGAAUUUACCGGUCGGCGACGCUACUGCUUUGGGUACUUU
RNAcentral lists this ribosomal RNA (452 nucleotides) under Cyrtogaster vulgaris. RNAcentral describes it as "eukaryotic LSU rRNA". The record is from RNAcentral. Lineage: Eukaryota; Metazoa; Arthropoda; Insecta; Hymenoptera; Pteromalidae.